Molecule: ribosomal RNA, 408 nt
Filed under: uncultured bacterium
Lineage: Bacteria
Description: bacterial SSU rRNA
Rfam family: Bacterial small subunit ribosomal RNA
Source: RNAcentral
GACACGUGGGUAAUUUGCCGCGAAGUUGGGGAUAACUCGUUGAAAGACGAGCUAAUACCGAAUGUGAUCCGUUGAAGGCAUCUUCGAUUGAUCAAAGCUGGGGACCGUAAGGCCUGGCGCUUCGCGAUAAGCCCGCGGCCUAUCAGCUAGUUGGUGAGGUAACGGCUCACCAAGGCUAAGACGGGUAGCUGGUCUGAGAGGACGACCAGUCACACUGGAACUGAGACACGGUCCAGACACCUACGGGUGGCAGCAGUCGAGAAUUUUUCUCAAUGGACGAAAGUCUGAAGGAGCGACGCCGCGUGGGGGAUGAAGGGCUUCGGUCCGUAAACCCCUGUCAUUUGCGAACAAACCUUACUAUUGAACAUUUAGUGAGCUGAUUUAGCGAAAGAGGAAGGGACGGCUAAC